Molecule: RNase P RNA, 391 nt
Filed under: Cyclobacteriaceae bacterium
Lineage: Bacteria; Pseudomonadati; Bacteroidota; Cytophagia; Cytophagales; Cyclobacteriaceae
Description: RNase P RNA component class A
Rfam family: Bacterial RNase P class A
About the family: Ribonuclease P (RNase P) is a ubiquitous endoribonuclease, found in archaea, bacteria and eukarya as well as chloroplasts and mitochondria.
Source: RNAcentral
AAUUCGGGUGACCUUAUCGCUCCUUCUUUAUUUUAUAAAUUCUUUAUUUAAUAAAAAGGGAGAGGAAAGUCCGGGCAACGCAGGGCGCCACACCAUCAGAAACGAUGGGAUUGCCUAGGCAAGCCAGACAGUGCCACAGAAAAUAUACCGCCUGCUAUUUCUACGAAAUUGGCAGGUAAGGGUGAAAAGGCGGGGUAAGAGCCCACCGCUCCAAGGGUAACCAAGGAGGCACGGUAAACCUUGUGGGUUGCAAGACCAAAUAAACUGGUGUUUUAGGGCUGCUCGUCCAAGCCAGAGGGUAGGUUGCUAACUCCCUAAUGUUUUCAUUGGGGAAGAUAAAUGAUAGGGGCCUGAAAAGGAACAGAACCCGGCUUAUGAUCCCGAAUUUCUU